This is a non-coding RNA of Theobroma umbraticum, 2029 nucleotides long. The record is from RefSeq and is a predicted model, not a curated record. NCBI's taxonomy places the organism in Eukaryota, Viridiplantae, Streptophyta, Magnoliopsida, Malvales, Malvaceae.
GGCAGUCAAAAUGAAGACAUACCUCAAAGCUUUUGAUUUGUGGGAUGUAGUUGAAACAGAAGGAGAACCGUCAGCAAUGAGGCAUGCGAAUAAAACGAUUGCUCAAAUCAAGCAGCACUUUAAGGAAGUUGCCAAAAGGAAAUAUCUCACCAUUCCCAUAGCAUCUAGAAGGUUGUAAUGCUAAGUGGUUUCUCCACUAGCUGGCUCUUUUUUUAUUUUUUCUUUUUUCUUUCGCCAUGUAUAUAAAGUUUGUUACUGAGUAUAUGAAAGUGGCUAUGCACAUUGUUUUUGUGCUGACCUAAUAUUUUUCUCUUUCCUCAUUCAUUUAUUCUUUUUGGCUCUCUUUUAUCCCUGUUCUUCAUAUUUCCAGUUUAUCAAAUUUUCAAAAUGAUAGAGCUUUAUGCAACACCACCUGGUGUUUGUUAUUUAAUUUAGCUUCAGUUCACCAUUUCCUUUGAAUUGGCUUGGAUCAUAAGCCACGUUUUAUUAAUUUGGGUGAUAGUCGUACAAUUCAUAAUAAUGAAAGGUUCUUUUUCUAGGUUGCCUGGUUAAUACAUGCAGAUUUUGGAAAAUUGGAAUAGAAUUCUUGGGAUCGCUCUAAAAGAAUACAAGAAGCUUUUUCGAUGUUUGCAAAAAAGGCCAAACAUUGGAAAAGAAAUGUGUUUGGCAACAUCUUUUAUAAAAAGAAACGUUUGCUAGCAAGAAUUAGUGGUCUAGAGAAAGCAUUGGAGAAGAAGAAUUCUGGAUAGUUAAGGGGCCUUGAAUAUGCUCUUUAACUUGAAUAUGAGAUAGUACUUGGAUAGGAAGAGAUCUUUUGGAUGUAGAUGGUAAAAGCAGAUUUAUUAAAAUCUAGUGAUCAACAUAAUAAGUACUUCUAUCUCAGAAUGGCUUGUUGAAGAAAUAAAAAUAAAAUUAUAAGACUUUAAACACUAGAUGGACAGUAGUGUGCUAAUCAAACUACUCUCAAAUCAUAAGCAGUUGAUUUUUAUAGGAAAUUUUAUUCUAAGGAAGGGAGUUCUAUUCCACAAAACCUAAUUAGAGGUUGGUUCCCUAAACUUAGUCAUUCUGCAUUGGAGUUUAUCCAAAGACCAAUAAAAGACAAUGAAGUUUAUGAGGCACUUAGUGAGAUGAAACCACUUAAAGCCCCAGGGAUUGAUGGUUUUCUAGUUUUUUUUUUGGCACAUUAGAUUAUAGUAGGGCAAGAUGUCAUCAGAUAUGUUAGGGAAGUCUUUACCAUUGGUGAGUUGGAACUAAAUUUAGUAAGUCCAUGAUUACAUUGAUUCUUAAUAAUAGCUCUCUUGAAGCCUUUUCACAAUUCAGAUUGAUUAGUCUACUGCUCGUAAUUUUAAAUGGCGAUGAAGGUGGUAACAAAUAGAUUGAAAUUGAUUAUGAGUGAUUUAAUGGGGGAGAAUCAGUCUAGCUUCCUUCUUGGAAGGCACAUCAUGGAUAAUAUCAUUGUUGCAUAAGAGGUGCAUUUAUUCCUUUGGAAGAAAACAAGGAUAAAUGGGGUGGAUGACGAUUAAGAUUAACCUUGAAAAACAUAUGAUCGUCUUAGCUGGGAGUUAUCUAUGACACUUUGGUUGAUGCAAAAAUAUUGUACAGUGUGAUUGACAUAAUUGUUCACAGUUGGAGAUAUUGCAGUUCUCAAAUAAUUUGGAAUGAAACUUUAUCGAAUACUUUUAUUCCAUCUCGAGGUGUUCGUUAGGGAGAUCCGUUAUUGCCUUACCUCGUAUUAUGCAUGGAGAGAUUGGCAGUGAAUCAAAGAUUGUGGAAGCCCAUAAAGCUUAGCAAAAAUGGUCCUCCAUUUACUCAUCAUUUUUGUUUUGGCAAAUGAUCUUAUUUUAUUUGCUAAAGCCACAAUUGACUAACUAGAAGUUAUUAAAAGGUUUCUAGAUGAUUUUUGUCGUUGCUCUGAUGUAAAAGUUAACAUACAUAAGCUUUCUUUCUUUUGUUUUAGAAUGUGAAUCGAAGUAUUAUUGAUGCAUUAGUUGAAUUUUCUAGUUUUACUUGUACCAAUAAUAUCGAAAAA